Molecule: long non-coding RNA, 489 nt
Organism: Carassius carassius (crucian carp)
Lineage: Eukaryota; Metazoa; Chordata; Actinopteri; Cypriniformes; Cyprinidae
Exons: 3
Source: RefSeq, a predicted model, not a curated record
AGUUGCUAGACCCUAAGAUGAUGCAAACCACUGAGCUGCUGAAGACAGAGAGAUCGUUUCUCAGCAGGAUGACAGAGAUAACUGUGUGGUGACAGCACACUCAAGGCUGAAGAGUAGCAGUGCAUCCAGGGUCCAAAAUGAACACUCGCCGAGCUCCCAUUGUGACUGAAAUUUGGCUUUGACUCCCUAUUGAUUAUCCAGUUCUCUCUCAAGUGCCUGUUCUAUUUUAGACUGACAUGCCAUCAUAUGACCUCACUCCAAAAUGUCAAUCACAGUAUCCCGUUCUCUCUCUCUCUCUCUCUCUCUCUCUCUCUCUCUCUCAAUCCUGCAAAGCACAGUUGGUUGCUGGCUGACAUCAUCCUCUUUAUCAAACACAUUUCUUUGCCUCUGGCCUAUACAAUGUCAUGUUUGUUAGUGUCUUUGUUCUCCAGGAAAGCCAUUAUCUUAUUAUUUUUUUAGACUGGCUUAUACACACACCAUUCACUUCCA